GGUAUCGCCGUUAGUCAUGUGCAAAUAUGGAUAGCUGUUUUAGCCGUCUUUAUUGACUGGUUUAUAAGAGUUAUCAGAUAUCACUUUGAUUAAAUUAGAGUGCUUAAAGCAAGUGUGUUACUUGGAUAUAAAUGCAUGGAAUGAUGGAAUAUGUUGUUAUUCUAUUUGUUGGUUUUUGAAUGAUAAAAUGAUUGAAAGGAACUGUUAGGGGCAUUCGUAUUGUUGUGAGAGAGGUGAAAUUCUUAGACCACAGCAAGACGAACUACUGCGAAAGCAUUUGCCAAGAAUGUUUUCAUUGAUCAAGAACGAAAGUUAGAGGUUCGAAGGCGAUCAGAUACCGCCCUAGUUCUAACCAUAAACUAUGCCAACUAGCAAUUUGCUUUGUAUUUUUUAUGACUAAGUGAGAGGCCACGGGAAACCUAAGUAGGGUUAUGGGGGAAGUAUGGUUGCAAAGCUGAAACUUAAAGGAAUUGACGGAAGGGCACCACCAGGAGUGGAGCCUGCGGCUUAAUUUGACUCAACACGGGAAAACUUACCUGGUCCUGACACUAGAAGGAUUGACAGAUUGAUAGCCCUUUCUUGAUUUGGUGGAUGGUGGUGCAUGGCCGUUCUUAGUUGGUGGAGUGAUUUGUCUGGUUAAUUCCGAUAACGAACGAGACUCUAGCCUAUUAAAUAAUACACGGAAUUUUAUCUUCCGCGGUAUUUCUUAGUGGGAUCAAGCG
This 722-nucleotide ribosomal RNA is filed under the name uncultured eukaryote. RNAcentral describes it as "SSU rRNA". It matches the Rfam family "Eukaryotic small subunit ribosomal RNA", at positions 672 to 1426 of the family's 1831-position model. The record is from RNAcentral.